This 464-nucleotide ribosomal RNA is filed under the name uncultured bacterium. RNAcentral's name for it is "partial 16S ribosomal RNA". It matches the Rfam family "Bacterial small subunit ribosomal RNA", at positions 28 to 507 of the family's 1533-position model. The record is from RNAcentral.
GACGAACGCUGGCGGCGUGCUUAACACAUGCAAGUCGAACGGAAAGGCCCCUUUGGGGGUACUCGAGUGGCGAACGGGUGAGUAACACGUGAGUAACCUGCCCUUGACUUCGGGAUAACUUCAGGAAACUGGGGCUAAUACCGGAUAGGAAUCCUUGCUGCAUGGUGGGGGUUGGAAAGCUUCGGCGGUUUGGGAUGGACUCGCGGCUUAUCAGCUUGUUGGUGGGGUAGUGGCUUACCAAGGCUUUGACGGGUAGCCGGCCUGAGAGGGCGACCGGCCACAUUGGGACUGAGAUACGGCCCAGACUCCUACGGGAGGCAGCAGUGGGGAAUAUUGCACAAUGGGCGGAAGCAUGAUGCAGCAACGCCGCGUGCGGGAUGACGGCCUUCGGGUUGUAAACCGCUUUCAGCAGGGGCGAAGCUUUUGUGACGGUACCUGCAGAAGAAGCACCGGCUAACUACGUG